RNAcentral lists this ribosomal RNA (515 nucleotides) under uncultured bacterium. Its description in RNAcentral is "partial 16S ribosomal RNA". It matches the Rfam family "Bacterial small subunit ribosomal RNA", at positions 28 to 523 of the family's 1533-position model. The record is from RNAcentral.
GAUGAACGCUGGCGGCGUGCCUAAUACAUGCAAGUCGAGCGAAUGGAUUAAGAGCUUGCUCUUAUGAAGUUAGCGGCGGACGGGUGAGUAACACGUGGGUAACCUGCCCAUAAGACUGGGAUAACUCCGGGAAACCGGGGCUAAUACCGGAUAACAUUUUGAACCGCAUGGUUCGAAAUUGAAAGGCGGCUUCGGCUGUCACUUAUGGAUGGACCCGCGUCGUAUUAGCUAGUUGGUGAGGUAACGGCUCACCAAGGCAACGAUGCGUAGCCGACCCGGGAGGGUGAUCGGCCACACUGGGACUGAGACACGGCCCAGACUCCUACGGGAGGCAGCAGUAGGGAAUCUUCCGCAAUGGACGAAAGUCUGACGGAGCAACGCCGCGUGAGUGAUGAAGGCUUUCGGGUCGUAAAACUCUGUUGUUAGGGAAGAACAAGUGCUUGUUGAAUAAGCUGGCACCUUGACGGUACCUAACCAGAAAGCCACGGCUAACUACGUGCCAGCCGCCGCCGUAA